AAUAGAUACCCUGGUAGUCCACGCAGUAAACGAUGCAGACUAGGCGUGGGGGGACUUGACCCCCUCCGUGCCGCAGCCAACGCGUGAAGUCUGCCGCCUGGGGAGUACGGCCGCAAGGCUAAAACUCAAAGGAAUUGACGGGGGGCCCGCACAAGCGGCGGAGCGUGCGGUUUAACUCGACGCAACGCGCAGAACCUUACCAGGACUUGACAUGCACCUGCAGAGCCGUGAAAGCGGUUGGCCUUCGAGGGUGGUGCACAGGUGCUGCAUGGCUGUCGUCAGCUCGUGUCGUGAGAUGUUGGGUUAAGUCCCGCAACGAGCGCAACCCUCGUGGCUAGUUGUCGAUGUUUCUAGCCAGACUGCCGGUAGCAAGCCGGGGGAAGGUGGGGAUGACGUCAAGUCAGCAUGGCCCUUACGGUCCUGGGCUACACGCACGCUACAAUGGCCGGGACAAUGGGCAGCCAAACCGCAAGGUGGAGCGAAUCCCACAAACCCGGGUCUCAGUUCAGAUCGCGGACUGCAACUCGGCCCGG
RNAcentral lists this ribosomal RNA (533 nucleotides) under uncultured bacterium. RNAcentral's name for it is "bacterial SSU rRNA". It matches the Rfam family "Bacterial small subunit ribosomal RNA", at positions 777 to 1321 of the family's 1533-position model. The record is from RNAcentral.